AUGAAUGACAUGGUAACUAUCCAAACUGGAAAGUUCAUGACCAACCAACUACUUCAGUGAAAACAAAUGGUCAUUGAUGUCCUUCACCCCGGGAAGGCAACACUACCUAAGAGAGAAAUUCGGGAAAAAGUAGCCAAAAUGUACAAGACCACACCAGAUGUCAUCUUUGAGUUCAGAACUCAUUUUGGUGGUGGCAAGACUACUGGCUUUGGCAUAAUUUACGAUUCCUUGGAUUAUGCAAACAAAAAUGAACACAAACAUAGACUUACAAGACAUGGCCUGUGUGAGAAGAAAAAGACCUUGAGAAAGCAAUGAAAGGAAUGUAAGAACGGCAUGAAGAAGGUAGGCAGACAGCAAAGGCCAGUGUUAGUGCUGGCAAAAAGCCAAAGGAG
RNAcentral lists this long non-coding RNA (392 nucleotides) under Homo sapiens (human). Its description in RNAcentral is "non-protein coding lnc-IQCH-4:1". Lineage: Eukaryota; Metazoa; Chordata; Mammalia; Primates; Hominidae. The record is from RNAcentral.